UACGUAGGGUGCGAGCGUUGUCCGGAAUUAUUGGGCGUAAAGAGCUCGUAGGCGGUCUGUCGCGUCUGCUGUGAAAAUCCGGGGCUCAACCCCGGACUUGCAGUGGGUACGGGCAGACUAGAGUGUGGUAGGGGAGACUGGAAUUCCUGGUGUAGCAGUGAAAUGCGUAGAUAUCAGGAGGAACACCGAUGGCGAAGGCAGGUCUCUGGGCUGACACUGACGCUCAGGCACGAAAGCGUGGGGAGCAAACAGG
RNAcentral lists this ribosomal RNA (253 nucleotides) under uncultured bacterium. Its description in RNAcentral is "partial 16S ribosomal RNA". It matches the Rfam family "Bacterial small subunit ribosomal RNA", at positions 524 to 776 of the family's 1533-position model. The record is from RNAcentral.